Molecule: transfer RNA, 74 nt
Filed under: Candidatus Zixiibacteriota bacterium
Lineage: Bacteria; Pseudomonadati; Candidatus Zixiibacteriota
Description: tRNA-Arg
Rfam family: tRNA
About the family: Transfer RNA (tRNA) molecules are approximately 80 nucleotides in length. Their secondary structure includes four short double-helical elements and three loops (D, anti-codon, and T loops). Further hydrogen bonds mediate the characteristic L-shaped molecular structure. tRNAs have two regions of fundamental functional importance: the anti-codon, which is responsible for specific mRNA codon recognition, and the 3' end, to which the tRNAs corresponding amino acid is attached (by aminoacyl-tRNA synthetases). tRNAs cope with the degeneracy of the genetic code in two manners: having more than one tRNA (with a specific anti-codon) for a particular amino acid; and 'wobble' base-pairing, i.e. permitting non-standard base-pairing at the 3rd anti-codon position.
Source: RNAcentral
GCGCCCAUAGCUCAACUGGAUAGAGCGUCUGGCUACGGACCAGAAGGUUGGUGGUUCAACUCCUCCUGGGCGUA